This 381-nucleotide ribosomal RNA is filed under the name uncultured eukaryote. Its description in RNAcentral is "partial 18S ribosomal RNA". It matches the Rfam family "Eukaryotic small subunit ribosomal RNA", at positions 592 to 975 of the family's 1831-position model. The record is from RNAcentral.
CAAUAGCGUAUAUUAAAGUUGUUGCAGUUAAAAAGCUCGUAGUUGGAUUUCUGGUUGAAGCGACCGGUCGGGCGUUGAUUCGUCUGCACUGGAGUCGGUUUUGGCCAUCCUCUAGGAAAGUGCGUCUGGUAUUAAGUUAUCGGGCGUAUGAUCCUGGUCUUUUACUGUGAAAAAAUUAGAGUGUUUAAAGCAGGCCUUCGCCUUGAAUACAUUAGCAUGGAAUAAUAAGAUAGGACUUUGGUCUAUUUUGUUGGUUUGCAGACCGAAGUAAUGAUUAAUAGGGAUAGUUGGGGGUAUUUAUAUUCCGAUGUCAGAGGUGAAACUCUUAGAUUUUCGGAAGAUAAACUUAUGCGAAAGCAUUUACCAAGGAUGUUUUCAUUA